ACCUGAUGAUGUGGGCAUUUGCGGACCAAGUCCCUAAAGCGCUCCCAAGUCUUGAAAAAGUGUUCCCCAUCCAUGUGUCUGAAACUCAUGAUGGCUCUUCACAGCU
Malania oleifera is the source of this 106-nucleotide small nucleolar RNA. NCBI's taxonomy places the organism in Eukaryota, Viridiplantae, Streptophyta, Magnoliopsida, Santalales, Ximeniaceae. The record is from RefSeq and is a predicted model, not a curated record.